RNAcentral lists this ribosomal RNA (437 nucleotides) under uncultured bacterium. RNAcentral describes it as "bacterial SSU rRNA". It matches the Rfam family "Bacterial small subunit ribosomal RNA", at positions 917 to 1341 of the family's 1533-position model. The record is from RNAcentral.
GGACCCGCACAAGCGGUGGAACAUGUGGUUUAAUUCGAUGAUACGCGAAGAACCUUACCUGGGUUUGACAUGUUAGUGAAAGUUUUCUGAAAAGAAAUCCCUUUAGAAGCUUGCUUUUAAACACUAUCACAGGUGAUGCAUGGCUGUCGUCAGCUCGUGUCGUGAGAUGUUAGGUUAAGUCCUGCAACGAGCGCAACCCCUAUAUUUAGUUGCCAGCACAUAAUGGUGGGGACUCUAGAUAGACUGCCCGGAAUAACCGGGAGGAAGGUGGGGAUGAUGUCAAGUCAGUAUGUCCCUUAUACCCAGGGCUACACACGUGUUACAAUGGAUAGUACAGAAAGUUGCAAUUCCGCGAGGAGGAGCCAAAUCUUUAAAAACUAUCCCCAGUUCAGAUUGAAGUCUGAAAUUCGACUUCAUGAAGCAGGAAUCGCUAGUAA